CAAUCGGCCCUUUUCAGAGCCACACAAAAUAAUUCCAAAGACAAUU
Non-coding RNA from Lasius niger, 46 nucleotides. NCBI's taxonomy places the organism in Eukaryota, Metazoa, Arthropoda, Insecta, Hymenoptera, Formicidae. The record is from Rfam.